GGCGAACGGGUGAGUAACACGUGAGUAACCUGCCCUUGACUUUGGGAUAACUUCAGGAAACUGGGGCUAAUACCGGAUAGGAGCUCCUGCUGCAUGGUGGGGGUUGGAAAGUUUCGGCGGUUGGGGAUGGACUCGCGGCUUAUCAGCUUGUUGGUGGGGUAGUGGCUUACCAAGGCCUUGACGGGUAGCCGGCCUGAGAGGGUGACCGGCCACAUUGGGACUGAGAUACGGCCCAG
RNAcentral lists this ribosomal RNA (236 nucleotides) under uncultured Actinomycetales bacterium. Its description in RNAcentral is "partial 16S ribosomal RNA". It matches the Rfam family "Bacterial small subunit ribosomal RNA", at positions 97 to 334 of the family's 1533-position model. The record is from RNAcentral. Lineage: Bacteria; Bacillati; Actinomycetota; Actinomycetes; Actinomycetales.